UACAGAGGCCCCGAGCGUUAUCCGGAAUUAUUGGGCGUAAAGGGUGUGUAGGUGGCGCUGUUAGUCGUUUUUGAAAGCCCGGGGCUUAACCUCGGGACCGGGGACGAAACGGCAGUGCUUGAGUAGGGAAGAGGUAAGCGGAACUCUAUGUGUAGGGGUGAAAUCCGUUGAUAUAUAGGGGAACACCAAAAGCGAAGGCAGCUUACUGGUCCUUUACUGACACUGAAACACGAAAGCGUGGGUAGCGAAUGGG
This 253-nucleotide ribosomal RNA is filed under the name uncultured bacterium. RNAcentral describes it as "partial 16S ribosomal RNA". It matches the Rfam family "Bacterial small subunit ribosomal RNA", at positions 524 to 776 of the family's 1533-position model. The record is from RNAcentral.